UGGGGAAUUUUGCACAAUGGGGGAACCUUGAUGCAGCGACGCCGCGUGAGGGAUGGAGGCCUUCGGGUUGUGAACCUCUUUCGCUCGUGUGCAAGCCGCUAUUUGGGUAGUGGUGAGUGUAGCGGGUAAAGAAGCGCCGGCUAACUACGUGCCAGCAGCCGCGGUAAUACGUAGGGCGCGAGCGUUGUCCGGAUUUAUUUGGCGUAAAGGGCUUGUAGGCGGUUUGUCGCGCCUGUCGUGUAAUCCUCUGGCUGAACUGGGGGUGGGCGGUGGGUACGGGCAGGAGAGAGUGGGGGAGGGGAGAAUGGAAGUCCGGGUGGAGAGGUGGAAUGCGCAGAUAUCAGGAGGAACACCGGUGGCGAAGGCGGGUCGCUGGGCAGUUACUGACGCUGAGGAGCGAAAGCGUGGGGAGCGAACAGG
Molecule: ribosomal RNA, 420 nt
Filed under: Fusobacteriota bacterium
Lineage: Bacteria; Fusobacteriati; Fusobacteriota
Description: Fusobacteria bacterium partial 16S ribosomal RNA
Rfam family: Bacterial small subunit ribosomal RNA
Source: RNAcentral